AGGGCAGUGGCUCAAAUGGCUAGAGCACCGGUCUCCAAAACCGGCGGUUGAGGGUUCGAGUCCCUCCUGCCCUGCAA
Molecule: transfer RNA, 77 nt
Filed under: Acidimicrobiaceae bacterium
Lineage: Bacteria; Bacillati; Actinomycetota; Acidimicrobiia; Acidimicrobiales; Acidimicrobiaceae
Description: tRNA-Trp
Rfam family: tRNA
About the family: Transfer RNA (tRNA) molecules are approximately 80 nucleotides in length. Their secondary structure includes four short double-helical elements and three loops (D, anti-codon, and T loops).
Source: RNAcentral